AAGACUAUACUUUCAGGGAUCAUUCCCACAGUAUGCUACUAGAAGUUUCUCUCAUAGAGGACCUGAAACCACGCGGAAGAGUUAGAGCAUCCUCUACUGAGCAUGAAGGUGGUUCUAGGUAUAGCUCCUGCAACUGCCUUUUACUACUGGUAAUCAUUCUUCUCUUCCUUUGGAAGAGGAAGAGGGAGAUGAUGCCAUCUGAGUGGU
This is a small nucleolar RNA of Sorex fumeus (smoky shrew), 207 nucleotides long. RefSeq annotates it as small nucleolar RNA U3. The record is from RefSeq and is a predicted model, not a curated record. NCBI's taxonomy places the organism in Eukaryota, Metazoa, Chordata, Mammalia, Eulipotyphla, Soricidae. The transcript has a single exon.